CCUACGGGAGGCUGCAGUGGGGAAUAUUGGACAAUGGGCGAAAGCCUGAUCCAGCCAUGCCGCGUGUGUGAAGAAGGCCUUCGGGUUGUAAAGCACUUUCAGUGGGGAAGAAAGCCUUGGGGCUGAUACCCUCGAGGAAGGACAUCACCCACAGAAGAAGCACCGGCUAACUCCGUGCCAGCAGCCGCGGUAAUACAGGAGGGUGCGAGCGUUAAUCGGAAUUACUGGGCGUAAAGCGCGCGUAGGCGGUCUGAUAAGCCGGUUGUGAAAGCCCCGGGCUCAACCUGGGAACGGCAUCCGGAACUGUCAGGCUAGAGUGCAGGAGAGGAAGGUAGAAUUCCCGGUGUAGCGGUGAAAUGCGUAGAGAUCGGGAGGAAUACCAGUGGCGAAGGCGGCCUUCUGGACUGACACUGACGCUGAGGUGCGAAAGCGUGGGUAGCAAACAGGAUUAGAUACCCCAGUAGUC
This 466-nucleotide ribosomal RNA is filed under the name Vreelandella stevensii. Its description in RNAcentral is "partial 16S ribosomal RNA". It matches the Rfam family "Bacterial small subunit ribosomal RNA", at positions 338 to 795 of the family's 1533-position model. Lineage: Bacteria; Pseudomonadati; Pseudomonadota; Gammaproteobacteria; Oceanospirillales; Halomonadaceae. The record is from RNAcentral.